UGGGGAAUAUUGCACAAUGGGCGCAAGCCUGAUGCAGCGACGCCGCGUGGGGGAUGACGGCCUUCGGGUUGUAAACUCCUUUCGCUAGGGACGAAGCUUUUUGUGACGGUACCUAGAUAAGAAGCACCGGCUAACUACGUGCCAGCAGCCGCGGUAAUACGUAGGGUGCGAGCGUUGUCCGGAAUUACUGGGCGUAAAGGGCUCGUAGGUGGUUUGUCGCGUCGUCUGUGAAAUUCCGGGGCUUAACUCCGGGCGUGCAGGCGAUACGGGCAUAACUUGAGUACUGUAGGGGUAGCUGGAAUUCCUGGUGUAGCGGUGAAAUGCGCAGAUAUCAGGAGGAACACCGAUGGCGAAGGCAGGUUACUGGGCAGUUACUGACGCUGAGGAGCGAAAGCAUGGGUAGCGAACAGG
Molecule: ribosomal RNA, 411 nt
Filed under: Actinomycetes bacterium
Lineage: Bacteria; Bacillati; Actinomycetota; Actinomycetes
Description: Actinobacteria bacterium partial 16S ribosomal RNA
Rfam family: Bacterial small subunit ribosomal RNA
Source: RNAcentral